Molecule: transfer RNA, 49 nt
Filed under: Hyphomonas sp.
Lineage: Bacteria; Pseudomonadati; Pseudomonadota; Alphaproteobacteria; Hyphomonadales; Hyphomonadaceae
Description: tRNA-Arg
Source: RNAcentral
GCACCCGUAGCUCAGCUGGAUAGAGCACCAGACUACGAAUCUGGGGGUC